AUUGAACGCUGGCGGCAUGCUUUACACAUGCAAGUCGAACGGUAACAGGCCUUCGGGUGCUGACGAGUGGCGGACGGGUGAGUAAUGCAUCGGAACGUGCCCAGAGGUGGGGGAUAACGCAGCGAAAGCUGUUCUAAUACCGCAUGUGAUCUGAGGAUGAAAGCGUGUGACCAGGCAGCAAUGUUUGGCCUCGCGCCUUUGGAGCGGCCGAUUUCAGAUUAGGUAGAUGGUGGGGUAAAGGCCUACCAAGCCGACGAUCUGUAGCUGGUCUUAGAGGACGAUCAGCCACACUGUGACUGGGACACGGCGCAGACUCCUACGGGAGGCAGCAGUCGGGAAUUUUGGACAAUGGGCGGAAGCCUGAUCCAGCAAUGCCGCGUGCGGGAAGAAGGGCUUCGGGUUGUAAACCGCUUUUGUACGGAACGAAAAGGGUCUUGCUAAUACCUGGGGAUGAUGACGGUACCGUAAGAAGAAGCACCGGCUAACUACGUG
RNAcentral lists this ribosomal RNA (492 nucleotides) under uncultured bacterium. RNAcentral's name for it is "partial 16S ribosomal RNA". It matches the Rfam family "Bacterial small subunit ribosomal RNA", at positions 30 to 507 of the family's 1533-position model. The record is from RNAcentral.